RNAcentral lists this long non-coding RNA (4260 nucleotides) under Mytilus galloprovincialis (Mediterranean mussel). The record is from RNAcentral. Lineage: Eukaryota; Metazoa; Mollusca; Bivalvia; Mytilida; Mytilidae.
GAUCUAAAUUCAAUGGCAGAACAGAAUGGUGAAUGCUACGUAUAUAUAAAGAGAUUUAAUUUUGGUAUGAUUGCCAAUGAGACAACUAUCCUCCAAAGUUCAAAUGAAGUGGGUUUAAGCAAUUAUAGGCAAAUGUGAGAAAACCCCAUACCGUAUACUAGUUGUCGGCUAUACUUGUUCCGACAUCUCCACCUCGCACGCACUCACAAUUUAGGGGUUCAAGCUCGGCUAGUCUUAGCGGACUCAAUUGUUCCGGUAUUUCGAUCGCUUGUUUUAAAGAUUUUUGGGAAAAUAAACAAAACGGUUGUAUUCAUAAGAUAGUAUUUUGAUUUGUCACAACUCGGCAAAUUCCGUACCUUUAUUGGAUAGACGAAGAGUAGCGGAGUCAUCCGAGGAUUGCCGAUUGAUAGUAUGCAUGGGCAUAUUGCUUACAAGUGUGUUCGUCUGAUCGUUAGGAUGCAAAUACGUUCAGCUGUUUGACUUUCCCGUAUGAGGUAAACAUUUAGGGAAGUUUACCAUGAAUGUUCUGUCAAAUCAUUUAGGAGAUUAAGCAUAUUCUACUUUUUCUUCAAAUUACUGUCCACAUUCAACAUAAUGAAUAUUCAUUAUGAUUUGAACUGUUUUAAGAAUACAUGCGAUCUUUGAACUAUGUACAUACACAUAUAUUGAUGGCACUGGCUACGGUUACUUGAAAAUGUAACAAUAAUAAAAUAAUAUUGUUAGAUUGGAUACUAAUUGCCGGAAUUCAGUGUUGAAUAAGGAACUGAUUAAUUACGAUUGUAACAAUCUUAUUUGAGUCUACGGUUACAUUGCGUUAUCGUUACAUACUUAUGCACUUCAAAUGUUCAAUGUACGCUAAAAAGUUAACAAUAAAUACAAAAGGUAUGUCUGGUAAUAGAGGCCAUAGAGGGAUGUAGCACGGAGAAAUUUGACCGGACGUGGCUUCAAACUUGUACAUCCCGCACAGCAAAACGAACGCCCCACUUUGGCAAGCAUUUUACUGUCGAUCGAAAAAAUACCACGUGACCCAGUCACCUUUAGGGCACAUACACAUAGGCUAUGUUUAUUUAAAAAUGACAGACCGUGAAAUAUUUUGUUCAUUUCAUGUUUGUAUUUAGCCAGUUAAUUUAAACUUGCUUUUAACAUUUGCAUCUUUGUAGGUGUAGGAUCUGGAGGUAUAGUAGAUAUGUUGAAGAGUAAUUUGGAUACAACAGACGUAGACUGCAAAAAAGAUUUAUUAUGUAAUGUCAUUCUGUCAGGAGCAACUACUUUGUUCCCUGGUAAGUAUGUACAGCAGAUUGUAUAUUCCGGGCAGGUAAACAGUUACUCCUUGCCAAAAAAUGCCAUUGAAAGUUACAUGUGUACUUCUAAAACUUGUUCUCUGUACAGGAUAACCGGGAUACCAUGUCUCAACUUACAUUUGGUCUUUGUUUACUCCGUGCCAAAAGGUAACAUUGUAAGUUCAAAACAGCGCUCUUAAUGUAUUUUGGAAAACUGUUUCUCUUUAUAGAAUAACUGGAAUACGAUGUCUUAACUCACAUGCGGUGUUUGUUUACUCCAUGCCAAAAAUGUCAUUGUAAGUUCAAAACAACGUUAUACAUGUACUUCUAAUACUAAGUACUUGUUUUCUGUAUAGGAUUACUGAGAUGCGAUGUCUCAACUCACGUGCGGUCUUUGUUUACUCUAUGCCAAAAAAUACCAUUGUAAUUUCAAAACAGCUUUAAAAGUGUACUUCAAAACUUGUUUUGCUGUAUAGGAUUACUGGGAUGUGUAUCUCAACUCACAUGCGGUCUUUGUUUACUGCCUGCCAAAAAAUACCAUUGUAAUUUCAAAACAACUUUAAAAGUGUACUUCAUGUUGUGUACUAUUUCUCGUUGAGACAUUUUGACUCAGUGUAGAUUAACAUUGCAGUUGAUUGAUGCAUAGCCGGAGACGCGCACCCUUUCGACGCAGACGAUAUUGCUCCUCUUUGAGUUCACGUGAUUCCCUCAUAUUUGUAAAAUUUAUAUGUAUAUGUAUAGAGAUAUAAGAAGAUGUGGUAUGAGUGCAAAUGAGACUCGUAUGUUCUUUAUGGAUUUUUGGGAUUCGAACUUUUGUAAACUACAAGUACACACCCGUGAUAUCGCGGGUCCGUGACUGAGUAAAGUAUAUAAUUAUGCCUAAGCCUUGUUUUAGUAAUUGGUAUUGUCAUCUGAUAAAGUCAUCUCGAUUAUAAGAUACACCGUUUUCUCUGCUUUCAAAUCUUUCUGUUUGAACCCGUCGACCUGGAACUUAUCAAUUAUUGGUAAUAUUAAUUAUUUGGAAAACAAAAGGUCCUGGCUAUCCAGGAAUGGAGUAUUUUUUAAUCAACAGCAUUGUCCUAUAUUGGUUAUCUUAGAAAGUCUUGCUGAUUUCUGAAUAAAACUACAAUAGGGAACAAUUUGACAAUGAUUGAAUUUAGUAGUGUCAGCCCUUUGAUUAUGACCCGUGUAUAUAGCAAAAUCCUAAAUACACCAUUUGGUGGUGCGCCUGUCAAAUGCGGAACGUACAGAUAAGGUCAUAGCUAACAGGUGAAUAUACUAUUGGUAUCGGUAUCGGAUUCGACCAGGAACUUGUUAAUUAUUGGCAAUAUUAAUUAUGUGGAAAACAAAAGGGUCUGGAGUGGUGUAAUUUUUAAUCUACACCAUUGUCCUAUAUUAGUUAUAUAUAGAGUUGAAUUCUUUGAUUUGUCGUUUUUACCCGAUGACGGCUGACAAAUUGGACCUCGUAAUUUUAGUAUUAUAGAUUGUUGACCUUAUUUAUAUGAUCGAUAUUUGAUAAGAUAUAAUCUAGCAUAGGUCAUCUGUCAAUCAACGAUAAACACGAAAAAAACCCUGAUUAGCUUAUAAAUCCAAACAGGAUUGGGUUCAAUAUCGUAGCAGCUACGUAGCUGCUAUCAAUAUCUAUGUAGAAACUGCUCGUUCAAUACCUAUAAAUCUACGUAGCACUUACGUAGCCGCUACGAUAUUGAACGCAAGGUUACGCGAAUUAGAAUCAAACUCGUAAAUAAUUUGCGAUCAAUCAUCAGUUAAUGACCUUUAACGAAGUAUUUAAAUUUUCCCUAUAACUUAGUGAUAUCUUUUGCACUCAAAUAAUGCCAGGAAAAAGGUAGAAAAAAACCAUUGCUGCAAUCAAUUGAAAAUGAGUCAUUUGCUUUUGUAUUGUCAAAAUAGUGAUUAUUUAGGCCAUCUUGUAUUUAAGAAAUGACUGUAAUAUUUUUUCUGUUUAUGAAGAAAUAACAAAAAAAAAAUUGGUGACACUGAAUAAAGAGCGUAGCGGGUUAUUUAACAGUGUGCACCACAUUUUUUAUGUUAUUUCGAAUAGACAGAAAAAAUAUUUUAGUCAUUUCUUAUAAUUUAAUUCUAAAUUCCAUUUUAAACCGUAGAAAACCAUGAAAAAACGUUGGUGACGUCACGGUCACAUGACUAAAUUAUGUCUAUGGGCUCAUAACAAAAUAACGUCAGCCAAUCAGAAGACGCGUUACAUCCAAAAUUAAAUUAUAUAAAAAUAUACAAAAUCAUAGUGGAAAAUUAUAAAGAAGACUUAAAUAACUAACAGAGUAAUUAAUAAAAAAUCGGCGUAUCAACAAAAAGACAGUAUAAAACAUACGAUCCCUGACAAACAAUGGUAUAUGGAACUAGUACAUGUUGUAUUUCAUGACUUGAAAUAUAUUUGAAUUCGUUAUUUAUAAAGGAAAAUAACGCCAUUCUUGAAGUUAACAAACUGGAGAACACUCUGCACAAAUGUCCAAUCAGAUAUAUAUUCCUUUAAGAACAUGUAAUACUUAAUAAAUGUUUUUUUUUUUUUUUAUCUAAUCAGGUUUUCCUGAGAGAAUUAGAGAAGGAAUAGAAUAUUUUGUUCCAAGAACUACGAAAGUUAAAGUGAUAGCUGUCCCAGAACGUGAAUCCUUAGUGUGGAUUGGUGGAUCUAUUUUAGGAUCUUUAUCCACAUUUCAAUCGUACUGGAUAACAAAACAGGAAUACGAAGAAUAUGGACCAACAAUCGUGCAUAGGAGAGAUUGACGAAUGGAAAAUCAAAACAAUCGGAACUGACUGGUUCAGUAUAUAAAGCAUUAUGGGUAAUAUCUUCAACUAUGAACAAAACCAUCAACAAAUGGACAAGUUAUUUAAAUAAAACUUAGAAAAUUAUACGUUAUUUUCAACGUCAUAAAACUAGCAAAAAUGUAAUGUGAUAUUGAACCUUUUUUUUUCUUCUCUUGUCUAUUAAAUACUUUAUAUCAAC